AGGACGAACGCUGGCGGCGUGCUUAACACAUGCAAGUCGAGCGGAAAGGCCUCUUCGGGGGUACUCGAGCGGCGAACGGGUGAGUAACACGUGAGUAACCUGCCCUGGACCUUGGGAUAACCCUCGGAAACGGGGGCUAAUACCGGAUACGACCUCCACGGGCAUCUGCGGAGGUGGAAAGGUUUUUCCGGCUGAGGAUGGGCCCGCGGCCUAUCAGCUAGUUGGUGGGGUGAUGGCCCACCAAGGCGACGAC
Molecule: ribosomal RNA, 253 nt
Filed under: uncultured bacterium
Lineage: Bacteria
Description: partial small subunit ribosomal RNA
Rfam family: Bacterial small subunit ribosomal RNA
Source: RNAcentral